This 577-nucleotide ribosomal RNA is filed under the name uncultured bacterium. RNAcentral's name for it is "partial 16S ribosomal RNA". It matches the Rfam family "Bacterial small subunit ribosomal RNA", at positions 355 to 923 of the family's 1533-position model. The record is from RNAcentral.
UGGGGAAUUUUGGACAAUGGGCGAAAGCCUGAUCCAGCAAUGCCGCGUGUGUGAAGAAGGCCUUCGGGUUGUAAAGCACUUUUGUCCGGAAAGAAAUCCUUGGCUCUAAUACAGUCGGGGGAUGACGGUACCGGAAGAAUAAGCACCGGCUAACUACGUGCCAGCAGCCGCGGUAAUACGUAGGGUGCAAGCGUUAAUCGGAAUUACUGGGCGUAAAGCGUGCGCAGGCGGUUUGCUAAGACCGAUGUGAAAUCCCCGGGCUCAACCUGGGAACUGCAUUGGUGACUGGCAGGCUAGAGUAUGGCAGAGGGGGGUAGAAUUCCACGUGUAGCAGUGAAAUGCGUAGAGAUGUGGAGGAAUACCGAUGGCGAAGGCAGCCCCCCUGGGGCCAAUACUGACGCUCAUGCACGAAAGCGUGGGGAGCAAACAGGAUUAGAUACCCUGGUAGUCCACGCCCUAAACGAUGUCAACUAGUUGUUGGGGAUUCAUUUCCUUAGUAACGUAGCUAACGCGUGAAGUUGACCGCCUGGGGAGUACGGUCGCAAGAUUAAAACUUAAAUGAAUUGACGGGGUCAUA